Molecule: ribosomal RNA, 210 nt
Filed under: uncultured bacterium
Lineage: Bacteria
Description: partial 16S ribosomal RNA
Rfam family: Bacterial small subunit ribosomal RNA
Source: RNAcentral
CCUCAGUUCGGAUUGGAGUCUGCAACUCGACUCCACUGAAGCUGGAUUCGCUAGUAAUCGCGCAUCAGCCAUGGCGCGGUGAAUACGUUCCCGGGCCUUGUACACACCGCCCGUCAAGCCAUGGGAGUCGGGAGUGCCUGAAGUUCGUGACCGUCACAGGAGCGACCUAAGGCAAGACCGAUGACUGGGGCUAAGUCGUAACAAGGUAGC